UGGGGAAUUUUGGACAAUGGGCGAAAGCCUGAUCCAGCAAUGCCGCGUGUGUGAAGAAGGCCUUCGGGUUGUAAAGCACUUUUGUCCGGAAAGAAAUCCUUGGCUCUAAUACAGUCGGGGGAUGACGGUACCGGAAGAAUAAGCACCGGCUAACUACGUGCCAGCAGCCGCGGUAAUACGUAGGGUGCAAGCGUUAAUCGGAAUUACUGGGCGUAAAGCGUGCGCAGGCGGUUUGCUAAGACCGAUGUGAAGUCCCCGGGCUCAACCUGGGAACUGCAUUGGUGACUGGCAGGCUAGAGUAUGGCAGAGGGGGGUAGAAUUCCACGUGUAGCAGUGAAAUGCGUAGAGAUGUGGAGGAAUACCGAUGGCGAAGGCAGCCCCCUGGGCCAAUACUGACGCUCAUGCACGAAAAGCGUGGGGAGCAAACAGGAUUAGAUACCCUGGUAGUCCACGCCCUAAACGAUGUCAACUAGUUGUUGGGGAUUCAUUUCCUUAGUAACGUGCAUACAGCGUGAAGUUGACCGCCUGGGGAGUACGGUCGCAAGAUUAAAACUCAAAGGAAUUGAC
RNAcentral lists this ribosomal RNA (567 nucleotides) under uncultured bacterium. RNAcentral describes it as "partial 16S ribosomal RNA". It matches the Rfam family "Bacterial small subunit ribosomal RNA", at positions 355 to 914 of the family's 1533-position model. The record is from RNAcentral.